This 72-nucleotide transfer RNA is filed under the name Gemmatimonadota bacterium. It matches the Rfam family "tRNA". Rfam says of the family: Transfer RNA (tRNA) molecules are approximately 80 nucleotides in length. The record is from Rfam by way of RNAcentral. Lineage: Bacteria; Pseudomonadati; Gemmatimonadota.
GCCCCGGUCGUCUAACGGUCAGGACACCACUCUUUCAAGGUGGAGACCGGGGUUCGAUUCCCCGUCGGGGUA